RNAcentral lists this ribosomal RNA (380 nucleotides) under uncultured bacterium. RNAcentral describes it as "bacterial SSU rRNA". It matches the Rfam family "Bacterial small subunit ribosomal RNA", at positions 362 to 758 of the family's 1533-position model. The record is from RNAcentral.
UAUUGGACAAUGGGCGAAAGCCUGAUCCAGCAAUGCCGCGUGUGUGAAGAAGGUCCUCGCCCCUGUAAAGCACUUUCGACGGGGACGAUGAUGACGGUACCCGUAGAAGAAGCCCCGGCUAACUUCGUGCCAGCAGCCGCGGUAAUACGAAGGGGGCUAGCGUUGCUCGGAAUGACUGGGCGUAAAGGGCGCGUAGGCGGCGGUGUAAGUCAGACGUGAAAUUCCUGGGCUCAACCUGGGGACUGCGUUUGAGACUGCAUUGCUAGAGGAUGGAAGAGGCUCGUGGAAUUCCCAGUGUAGAGGUGAAAUUCGUAGAUAUUGGGAAGAACACCGGUGGCGAAGGCGGCGAGCUCGUCCAUUACUGACGCUGAGGCGCGAUA